Molecule: transfer RNA, 82 nt
Filed under: Daphnia pulex (common water flea)
Lineage: Eukaryota; Metazoa; Arthropoda; Branchiopoda; Diplostraca; Daphniidae
Rfam family: tRNA
About the family: Transfer RNA (tRNA) molecules are approximately 80 nucleotides in length. Their secondary structure includes four short double-helical elements and three loops (D, anti-codon, and T loops).
Source: Rfam by way of RNAcentral
GGUAGCCUGGCCGAGCGGUCCAAGGCGCUGGUUUAAGGCACCAGUCUCUUCGGGAGCAUGGGUUCGAAUCCCAUCGCGGCCU